GACGAACGCUGGCGGCGUGCUUAACACAUGCAAGUCGAACGGAAAGGCCCUGCUUUUGUGGGGUGCUCGAGUGGCGAACGGGUGAGUAACACGUGAGUAACCUGCCCUUGACUUUGGGAUAACUUCAGGAAACUGGGGCUAAUACCGGAUAGGAGCUCCUGCUGCGUGGUGGGGGUUGGAAAGUUUCGGCGGUUGGGGAUGGACUCGCGGCUUAUCAGCUUGUUGGUGGGGUAGUGGCUUACCAAGGCUUUGACGGGUAGCCGGCCUGGGAGGGUGGCCGGCCACAUUGGGCCUGAGGUACGGCCCAGACUCGUACGGGACGCAGCAGUGGGGAAUAUUACGCAGUGGGGGGAAGCCUGAUGCGGCAGCGCCGCGUUCGGGAUGACGGGCUUCGGGUUGUAAACCGCUUUCGCCUGUGACGAAGCGUUAGUGACGGUAAUGAGUAAAGAAGCACCGGCUAACUACGUG
This 468-nucleotide ribosomal RNA is filed under the name uncultured bacterium. Its description in RNAcentral is "partial 16S ribosomal RNA". It matches the Rfam family "Bacterial small subunit ribosomal RNA", at positions 28 to 507 of the family's 1533-position model. The record is from RNAcentral.